This 239-nucleotide ribosomal RNA is filed under the name uncultured bacterium. RNAcentral describes it as "partial 16S ribosomal RNA". It matches the Rfam family "Bacterial small subunit ribosomal RNA", at positions 15 to 235 of the family's 1533-position model. The record is from RNAcentral.
GAUCCUGGCUCAGGAUGAACGCUGGCGGCGUGCUUAACACAUGCAAGUCGAACGAAGCACUUAAGAUUGAUUCUUCGGAUGAUGUCUUUUGUGACUUAGUGGCGGACGGGUGAGUAACGCGUGGGUAACCUGCCUCACGACAGGGGGAUAACAGUUAGAAAUGACUGCUAAUACCGCAUAACCCGAUAGGAUCGCAUGAUCCAGACGGAAAAGAUUUAUCGGUGUGAGAUGGACCCGCG